This 20-nucleotide small nuclear RNA is filed under the name Arabidopsis thaliana (thale cress). Its description in RNAcentral is "snRNA_02812". Lineage: Eukaryota; Viridiplantae; Streptophyta; Magnoliopsida; Brassicales; Brassicaceae. The record is from RNAcentral.
UCAAAUGUCGAGAAAAUCAU